RNAcentral lists this ribosomal RNA (392 nucleotides) under uncultured bacterium. RNAcentral's name for it is "partial 16S ribosomal RNA". It matches the Rfam family "Bacterial small subunit ribosomal RNA", at positions 523 to 918 of the family's 1533-position model. The record is from RNAcentral.
AUACGGAGGAUCCGAGCGUUAUCCGGAUUUAUUGGGUUUAAAGGGUGCGCAGGCGGCCAUUUAAGUCAGCGGUUAAAUCGUGGGGCUCAACCCCAUUCUGCCGUUGAUACUGGGUGGCUUGAUUGCGGCCGAGGUUGGCGGAAUUCGUUGUGUAGCGGUGAAAUGCAUAGAUAUGACGAAGAACACCGAUUGCGUAGGCAGCUGACCAGAACGUAAAUGACGCUCCUGCACGAAAGAGCGGGGAUCGAACAGGAUUAGAUUCCCUGGUAGUCCGCACAGUAAACGAUGAAUACUUGGUUUCGGCGAUAUAAUGUCGGAGGCAAAGCGAAAGCGAUAAGUAUUCCACCUGGGGAGUACGCCGGCAACGGUGAAACUCAAAUGAAUUGACGGGG